AUAUCACAAAGUCAUAAAGUGCCGAGAACGUCAAAAUGGUCGCAAACAAAUUUGUAAAGGUAGCACUUUUGCUGAUCCUGAUAAUAGCGUCAGCGGAGGCAGUUCCCGUGCUGUGCGUCGCCAAGUUUGCCCUUCAUCUGGAGCACCUGAUAGCGAGCAUCGUACGGUACGAGCGCAGUUCCAACAAGCAGUGCGUUUCCUUUGCUGGCUCGGUGGCAAAAGAUGUCGUCAAGCUGGUCAAUGAUUUGCGCAGUUGUAUGUCGGUUUGAGGUUUUGGAUGGAAAUGUGCAAUAAAUAACUUUUUAAAU
This is a long non-coding RNA of Culex quinquefasciatus (southern house mosquito), 308 nucleotides long. RefSeq lists it as uncharacterized. The record is from RefSeq and is a predicted model, not a curated record. Lineage: Eukaryota; Metazoa; Arthropoda; Insecta; Diptera; Culicidae. The transcript has 2 exons.